RNAcentral lists this ribosomal RNA (400 nucleotides) under phytoplankton environmental sample. RNAcentral describes it as "partial small subunit ribosomal RNA". It matches the Rfam family "Eukaryotic small subunit ribosomal RNA", at positions 587 to 992 of the family's 1831-position model. The record is from RNAcentral.
AGCUCCAAUAGCGUAUAUUAAAGUUGUUGCAGUUAAAAAGCUCGUAGUUGGAUUUGUGGUUUGAUCAGCCGGCUGGGCCUUUUGGCCUUUGCUGUGCUGGUCAUCCAUCCUUGGGUGGAAUCUGUGUGGCAUUAGGUUGUCGUGCAGGGGAGACCCAUCUUUUACUGUGAAAAAAUUAGAGUGUUCAAAGCAGGCUUAUGCCGUUGAAUAUGUUAGCAUGGAAUAAUAAGAUAGGACUUCAGUACUAUUUUGUUGGUUUGCGCACUGAGGUAAUGAUUAAUAGGGACAGUUGGGGGUAUUUGUAUUCCAUUGUAAGAGGUGAAAUUCUUGGAUUUUUGGAAGACAAACUACUGCGAAAGCAUUUACCAAGGAUGUUUUCAUUAAUCAAGAACGAAAGUAG